RNAcentral lists this transfer RNA (71 nucleotides) under Pama pama. RNAcentral describes it as "tRNA-Gly". It matches the Rfam family "tRNA". From Rfam's summary of the family: Transfer RNA (tRNA) molecules are approximately 80 nucleotides in length. Their secondary structure includes four short double-helical elements and three loops (D, anti-codon, and T loops). Further hydrogen bonds mediate the characteristic L-shaped molecular structure. tRNAs have two regions of fundamental functional importance: the anti-codon, which is responsible for specific mRNA codon recognition, and the 3' end, to which the tRNAs corresponding amino acid is attached (by aminoacyl-tRNA synthetases). tRNAs cope with the degeneracy of the genetic code in two manners: having more than one tRNA (with a specific anti-codon) for a particular amino acid; and 'wobble' base-pairing, i.e. permitting non-standard base-pairing at the 3rd anti-codon position. Lineage: Eukaryota; Metazoa; Chordata; Actinopteri; Sciaenidae. The record is from RNAcentral.
AUCUUUUUAGUAUAAAGUUAGUAUCAGUGAUUUCCAAUCACCAGGCCUUGGUUAAAAUCCAAGAAAAGAUA